RNAcentral lists this unclassified non-coding RNA (344 nucleotides) under uncultured fungus. Its description in RNAcentral is "partial contains 5.8S ribosomal RNA, internal transcribed spacer 2, and large subunit ribosomal RNA". Lineage: Eukaryota; Fungi. The record is from RNAcentral.
AACGCAAAUUGCGCCCGAGGCUUCGGCCGAGGGCAUGUCUGCCUCAGCGUCGGCCCACACCCUCGCCUUCCCAUCCCUUUGGGAGAGCGGACCUGGCCGUUCCCGGCUCCCCGUUCGCCUUUGUGCGUCCGGGUCCGGGUCGGCUGAAGCUUAGAGGCUCGAGCGAGGACCCCGUUUGUAGGGCAAUGGCUUGGUAGGUAGGCACCCCCUACGCAGCCUGCCGUUGUCCGAGGGGACCUGUGCUGGCGGCCCCGCAGGAAUUCGGUGGUUGUGCUGUUUUUGCAGCCCCCCGAACGACUCACACCUUCGACCUGAGCUCAGGCAAGAUUACCCGCUGAACUUAA